Molecule: ribosomal RNA, 301 nt
Filed under: uncultured bacterium
Lineage: Bacteria
Description: partial 16S ribosomal RNA
Rfam family: Bacterial small subunit ribosomal RNA
Source: RNAcentral
CAGUCGCCGCGGUAAUACAGAGGGUGCAAGCGUUAAUCGGAAUUACUGGGCGUAAAGCGCGCGUAGGUGGUUUGUUAAGUUGGAUGUGAAAUCCCCGGGCUCAACCUGGGAACUGCAUUCAAAACUGACUGACUAGAGUAUGGUAGAGGGUGGUGGAAUUUCCUGUGUAGCGGUGAAAUGCGUAGAGAUCGGAAAGAACACCGGUGGCGAAGGCGGCUACCUGGACUAAUACUGACACUGAGGUACGAAAGCAUGGGGAGCAAACAGGAUUAGAGACCCGAGUAGUCCCUGUCUCUUAUAC